RNAcentral lists this ribosomal RNA (253 nucleotides) under uncultured bacterium. RNAcentral describes it as "partial 16S ribosomal RNA". It matches the Rfam family "Bacterial small subunit ribosomal RNA", at positions 524 to 776 of the family's 1533-position model. The record is from RNAcentral.
UACGAGGGAUCCUAGCGUUGUUCGGAAUUAUUGGGCGUAAAGGGUGCGUAGGCGGCCCGGUAAGUCCGCUGUAAAAGUCAAAGGCUCAACCUUUGAAUGUCAGUGGAUACUGCCGGGCUAGAGUCCGGAAGAGGCGAGUGGAACUCCUGGUGUAGCGGUGGAAUGCGCAGAUAUCAGGAAGAACACCAACGGCGAAGGCAGCUCGCUGGGACGGUACUGACGCUGAGACGCGAAAGCGUGGGGAGCGAACAGG